This 436-nucleotide unclassified non-coding RNA is filed under the name Bacillus subtilis. RNAcentral's name for it is "partial contains 16S ribosomal RNA, 16S-23S ribosomal RNA intergenic spacer, and 23S ribosomal RNA". The stretch from base 1 to 148 matches the Rfam family "Bacterial small subunit ribosomal RNA", at positions 1386 to 1533 of the family's 1533-position model. Lineage: Bacteria; Bacillati; Bacillota; Bacilli; Caryophanales; Bacillaceae. The record is from RNAcentral.
AACACCGCCCGUCACACCACGAGAGUUUGUAACACCCGAAGUCGGUGAGGUAACCUUUUGGAGCCAGCCGCCUAAGGUGGGACAAAUGAUUGGGGUGAAGUCGUAACAAGGUAGCCGUAUCGGAAGGUGCGGCUGGAUCACCUCCUUUCUAUGGAGUAUUUACUCUAGUCGAUGUAUGACCUCGGGUCAUAUAGCGCUUUGGAUCUUUUGUUCAGUUUUGGAAGAAUUCCUCUUCCAAUUGAAAAUGCGAAGGUAAUGGAUACCACGCUAAGAACGCCACGUCCUGUGGCAACGCCUGGUACCUACAUCCUGUAGGCAUGGUUCUUUGAAAACUAAAUCAUAAUCAAUCAACUCAAAUUAGUUUUGUUCAUCGGUGUUACAACUGUUUGAACGAGACGUCAAGAAUUCAUAAACCUUUUAGGUUAACCAAUUGAUU